CUGUGCUCUAGAGGCCUAGUGGUGAGCUCCAUCAAGUGUCAGGAAGGGUUCUUGUUCGAUAACUCCACCAAAGUGUGCAGGCCACGAGGCCAGGUACAGUGUGACAUCGGUUCUUCAAGGAUAAAUCCAAACGUUGGAGAGUCGUGCGAUGUGUACUCUGGGAAAACCCAAGACCCAAGUCGAUGUGACACGUUUCUACUGUGCUCUAGAGGCCUAGUGGUGAGCUCUACCAAGUGUCAGGAAGGGUUCUUGUUCGAUAACUCCACCAAAGUGUGCAGGCCACGAGACCAAGUACAGUGUGACAUCGGUUCUUCCAGGACAAAUGGCUCCACAGUCGGAGAUUCGUGCGAUGUGUACUCUGGGAAAACCCAAGACCCAAGUCGAUGUGACACAUUUCUACUGUGCUCUAGAGGCCUAGUGGUGAGCUCCAUCAAGUGUCAGGAAGGGUUCUUGUUCGAUAACUCCACCAAAGUGUGCAGGCCACGAGGCCAGGUACAGUGUGACAUCGGUUCUUCAAGGAUAAAUCCAAACG
Aplysia californica (California sea hare) is the source of this 532-nucleotide long non-coding RNA. RefSeq lists it as uncharacterized. Lineage: Eukaryota; Metazoa; Mollusca; Gastropoda; Aplysiida; Aplysiidae. The transcript is spliced from 3 exons. The record is from RefSeq and is a predicted model, not a curated record.